Molecule: ribosomal RNA, 449 nt
Filed under: uncultured bacterium
Lineage: Bacteria
Description: partial 16S ribosomal RNA
Rfam family: Bacterial small subunit ribosomal RNA
Source: RNAcentral
UGGGGAAUAUUGCACAAUGGGCGCAAGCCUGAUGCAGCCAUGCCGCGUGUGUGAAGAAGGCCUCGGUUGUAAAGCACUUUCAGCGAGGAGGAAGGUGGUGAGCUUAAUACGCUCAUCAAUUGACGUUACUCGCAGAAGAAGCACCGGCUAACUCCGUGCCAGCAGCCGCGGUAAUACGGAGGGUGCAAGCGUUAAUCGGAAUUACUGGGCGUAAAGCGCACGCAGGCGGUUUGUUAAGUCAGAUGUGAAAUCCCCGGGCUCAACCUGGGAACUGCAUUUGAAACUGGCAAGCUAGAGUCUCGUAGAGGGGGGUAGAAUUCCAGGUGUAGCGGUGAAAUGCGUAGAGAUCUGGAGGAAUACCGGUGGCGAAGGCGGCCCCCUGGACGAAGACUGACGCUCAGGUGCGAAAGCGUGGGGCAGCAAACAGGAUUAGAUACCCUGGUAGUCCA